GGAGACCGUGGCUCAGUGGUUAGAGAUCUGCUUGGCAAUCGGAAGGUCCAGGUUCAAUCCCCGGCAUCUCCA
This 72-nucleotide transfer RNA is filed under the name Sphaerodactylus townsendi. Its description in RNAcentral is "tRNA-Ala". Lineage: Eukaryota; Metazoa; Chordata; Lepidosauria; Squamata; Sphaerodactylidae. The record is from RNAcentral.